UGGACAGUCAUAUAAUGCUGAUGAUCGGGGUGCUCUCCUGCAGGAUGUAAUUAGAUCCGGAUCGCCGCAAUUCUCGGUUAUGAAUGCACUUGAUCACUGUUGAGCAUCGUAGUAUAAACUCAUGUGAUAUAAAAUCUCCUGUUGCCAAGUACUGUAUGAUUUAAUAGCUAUGAUUGUUUUACUUCUGUUAUCAUCUAGAAUGGUUAGGUAAUGACUUAACUAAAAUAAAAGAUAAAACUAAGGCCUCACUCGUAGUAAGCUUUUUCGGCAAAAUUGUGUCAACCAAGCACACCCAAAGGCUGACAUGCAUUCCAAAGAAAACUAUUAUAUUGGUUAGUCGGGUAAGACUUGCUGAGUACCCCGUACUCAGGGUUUUCCCCUUGUGGUUAUCUUUCAG
This 397-nucleotide long non-coding RNA is filed under the name Setaria italica (foxtail millet). RNAcentral describes it as "long non-coding RNA (SITA_LNC007492)". Lineage: Eukaryota; Viridiplantae; Streptophyta; Magnoliopsida; Poales; Poaceae. The record is from RNAcentral.